Molecule: long non-coding RNA, 592 nt
Filed under: Capsicum annuum
Lineage: Eukaryota; Viridiplantae; Streptophyta; Magnoliopsida; Solanales; Solanaceae
Description: long non-coding RNA (CANN_LNC021067)
Source: RNAcentral
GUCCAUGAUAUUCUCAGGUUCCCAAAACUGAAAAUGUAUAUGAAUUUGUAUGAGAAUCGCGAGAACAAAGUCGGUCAUUCUAUGAAUAUAAAGACACCAAUAAAAAGAAUUGGACAAAGAUUGUAUAACCUUAUAAGCUCUUUAUUCCAAGAUCGACACAGUUGAAAGGCAAAGUUUAGUUUGAUGUCUUUAAAUAUGGUAGUUUCAUCGGCCUCUUGUGUCUGGUUUAUACAUUGAGUAAUAGAACGUAAGAACUCGUAGAGAAAUAACUUUCCAAGUAAGUAUAGAUGAUCUUCUUCGGAACCAGAUAUGUUAUAGCCCUAAAGGGAUAUCAAACAUACCUUUGACUUCCAACCAGUUUAAUACAAUGUAAACCCAAAAACUAUGUAACCGAGGAGCUUUGGUAAUGAAAACAAUAACCAAACACUUACAAUAGUCGGUUAAUCGGCAAACAAUGAGGCUUCCACAUGGCUAACUUCACUUCACACAACCACGACAACUUUAUCCAUGACAACCAGUUGUCCGAGAAUUUAUUUGUCCAUAGUUAACACUUUCUCGUGACCGUAAGUUUUGUCCAAGAUGCACAUGAAGU